This 410-nucleotide ribosomal RNA is filed under the name uncultured Bacteroidota bacterium. RNAcentral's name for it is "bacterial SSU rRNA". It matches the Rfam family "Bacterial small subunit ribosomal RNA", at positions 418 to 826 of the family's 1533-position model. The record is from RNAcentral. Lineage: Bacteria; Pseudomonadati; Bacteroidota.
AUGGGUUGUAAACUGCUUUUAUACGGGAAGAAACCCCUCUACGUGUAGAAGGUUGACGGUACUGUACGAAUAAGCAUCGGCUAACUCCGUGCCAGCAGCCGCGGUAAUACGGAGGAUGCAAGCGUUAUCCGGAUUCAUUGGGUUUAAAGGGUGCGUAGGCGGAAUAUUAAGUCAGAGGUGAAAUCCUGCAGCUUAACUGUAGAACUGCCAUUGAUACUGGUUUUCUUGAGUAUAGUUGAAGUAGGCGGAAUGUGUAAUGUAGCGGUGAAAUGCUUAGAUAUUACACAGAACACCGAUUGCGAAGGCAGCUUACUAACCUAUAACUGACGCUGAGGCACGAAAGCGUGGGGAGCGAACAGGAUUAGAUACCCUGGUAGUCCACGCUGUAAACGAUGAUCACUCGCUGUUGG